UGGAUUUUGGAGAAAAUCGGAUACAGAAAAUUUCUACUAAUUGGCAUGGUGGUCUGUCUCAUCUCUAUGUCUGGACCUGGGGCCUGCAAUCAUAGUGACUUUGCCUACCUGUAUCUCCCCACAUUCUACCAAGCUCCAACAAAAGGUGAUCAUGUGAUUCAUAAUGGCCAAUGAAUAGGCAGACUUACACAGUUUGUUGUUUUC
Molecule: long non-coding RNA, 204 nt
Filed under: Homo sapiens (human)
Lineage: Eukaryota; Metazoa; Chordata; Mammalia; Primates; Hominidae
Description: HSALNT0075225
Source: RNAcentral